RNAcentral lists this ribosomal RNA (583 nucleotides) under Saccharomyces cerevisiae (brewer's yeast). RNAcentral's name for it is "partial large subunit ribosomal RNA". It matches the Rfam family "Eukaryotic large subunit ribosomal RNA", at positions 71 to 669 of the family's 3401-position model. The record is from RNAcentral. Lineage: Eukaryota; Fungi; Ascomycota; Saccharomycetes; Saccharomycetales; Saccharomycetaceae.
UGGAUUUUAGUAACGGCGAGUGAAGCGGCAAAAGCUCAAAUUUGAAAUCUGGUACCUUCGGUGCCCGAGUUGUAAUUUGGAGAGGGCAACUUUGGGGCCGUUCCUUGUCUAUGUUCCUUGGAACAGGACGUCAUAGAGGGUGAGAAUCCCGUGUGGCGAGGAGUGCGGUUCUUUGUAAAGUGCCUUCGAAGAGUCGAGUUGUUUGGGAAUGCAGCUCUAAGUGGGUGGUAAAUUCCAUCUAAAGCUAAAUAUUGGCGAGAGACCGAUAGCGAACAAGUACAGUGAUGGAAAGAUGAAAAGAACUUUGAAAAGAGAGUGAAAAAGUACGUGAAAUUGUUGAAAGGGAAGGGCAUUUGAUCAGACAUGGUGUUUUGUGCCCUCUGCUCCUUGUGGGUAGGGGAAUCUCGCAUUUCACUGGGCCAGCAUCAGUUUUGGUGGCAGGAUAAAUCCAUAGGAAUGUAGCUUGCCUCGGUAAGUAUUAUAGCCUGUGGGAAUACUGCCAGCUGGGACUGAGGACUGCGACGUAAGUCAAGGAUGCUGGCAUAAUGGUUAUAUGCCGCCCGUCUUGAACCACACGAACCCA